Molecule: long non-coding RNA, 205 nt
Filed under: Elaeis guineensis (African oil palm)
Lineage: Eukaryota; Viridiplantae; Streptophyta; Magnoliopsida; Arecales; Arecaceae
Description: long non-coding RNA (EGUI_LNC012215)
Source: RNAcentral
GAGCAAAUUGGAUUCAGAUGGCCAUAGGAAUAAAGGAGUCUCACUUAGUUAUUUCAUUAAAAAAAAAUAUUUUUUUAUUUCAAUCAUCAAAAUUUAAUUUCUACUUCUUUUGAUAUUCAAAUUUUAUUUCAAUUUAGAUUCCGAUUCGAUUCUAAGUUAAAAUUUUAUUUUUAUUUUAAUUUUUGUUAAGAAAAUUAUAUCAAGA